GCCGGGCGUGGUGGCUCAUGCCUGUAAUCCCAGCACUUUGGGAGGCUGAGGUGGGUGGAUCACCUGAGGUCGGGAGUUUGAGACCAGCCUGACCAACAUGGUGAAACCCCAUCUCAG
This 117-nucleotide small RNA is filed under the name Callithrix jacchus (white-tufted-ear marmoset). Its description in RNAcentral is "Metazoan signal recognition particle RNA (ENSCJAG00000075501.1)". Lineage: Eukaryota; Metazoa; Chordata; Mammalia; Primates; Cebidae. The record is from Rfam by way of RNAcentral.